GACGAACGCUGGCGGCGUGCUUAACACAUGCAAGUCGAACGGAAAGGCCCUGCUUUUGUGGGGUGCUCGAGUGGCGAACGGGUGAGUAACACGUGAGUAACCUGCCCUUGACUUUGGGAUAACUUCAGGAAACUGGGGCUAAUACCGGAUAGGAGCUCCUGCUGCAUGGUGGGGGUUGGAAAGUUUCGGCGGUUGGGGAUGGACUCGCGGCUUAUCAGCUUGUUGGUGGGGUAGUGGCUUACCAAGGCUUUGACGGGUAGCCGGCCUGAGAGGGUGACCGGCCACAUUGGGACUGCGAUACGGCCCAGACUCCUACGGGAGGCAGCAGUGGGGAAUAUUGCACAAUGGGCGGAAGCCUGAUGCAGCAACGCCGCGUGCGGGAUGACGGCCUUCGGGUUGUAAACCGCUUUCGCCUGUGACGAAGAGUGAGUGACGGUAAUGGGUAAAGAAGCACCGGCUAACUACGUG
Molecule: ribosomal RNA, 468 nt
Filed under: uncultured bacterium
Lineage: Bacteria
Description: partial 16S ribosomal RNA
Rfam family: Bacterial small subunit ribosomal RNA
Source: RNAcentral